This 74-nucleotide transfer RNA is filed under the name bacterium. RNAcentral describes it as "tRNA-Pro". It matches the Rfam family "tRNA". Rfam says of the family: Transfer RNA (tRNA) molecules are approximately 80 nucleotides in length. Their secondary structure includes four short double-helical elements and three loops (D, anti-codon, and T loops). Further hydrogen bonds mediate the characteristic L-shaped molecular structure. tRNAs have two regions of fundamental functional importance: the anti-codon, which is responsible for specific mRNA codon recognition, and the 3' end, to which the tRNAs corresponding amino acid is attached (by aminoacyl-tRNA synthetases). tRNAs cope with the degeneracy of the genetic code in two manners: having more than one tRNA (with a specific anti-codon) for a particular amino acid; and 'wobble' base-pairing, i.e. permitting non-standard base-pairing at the 3rd anti-codon position. The record is from RNAcentral. RNAcentral also lists the same sequence under 1 other name.
CGGGGCGUGGCGCAGUUGGCUAGCGCACCAGACUGGGGGUCUGGGGGUCAGCGGUUCGAGUCCGCUCGUCCCGA